CUGAGAGGUUGAACGGCCACAUUGGGACUGAGACACGGCCCAGACUCCUACGGGAGGCAGCAGUGGGGGAUAUUGCGCAAUGGGGGCAACCCUGACGCAGCAACGCCGCGUGAAGGAUGAAGGUUUUCGGAUUGUAAACUUCUUUUAUUAAGGACGAAAAUUGACGGUACUUAAUGAAUAAGCUCCGGCUAACUACGUGCCAGC
Molecule: ribosomal RNA, 204 nt
Filed under: uncultured Lachnospiraceae bacterium
Lineage: Bacteria; Bacillati; Bacillota; Clostridia; Lachnospirales; Lachnospiraceae
Description: partial 16S ribosomal RNA
Rfam family: Bacterial small subunit ribosomal RNA
Source: RNAcentral